RNAcentral lists this ribosomal RNA (754 nucleotides) under uncultured archaeon. RNAcentral's name for it is "bacterial SSU rRNA". It matches the Rfam family "Archaeal small subunit ribosomal RNA", at positions 102 to 859 of the family's 1478-position model. The record is from RNAcentral.
AGUCAACAUGCCCAGGGGACGUGGAUAACCUCGGGAAACUGAGGAUAAACCACGAUAGGUCAUAAUAUCUGGAAUGAUUUAUGGCUAAAAUCUACAUGGCCUCUGGAUUGGACUGCGGCCGAUCAGGCUGUUGGUGAGGUAAUGGCCCACCAAACCUAAAACCGGUACGGGCUCUGAGAGGAGAAGCCCGGAGAUGGGCACUGAGACAAGGGCCCAGGCCCUAUGGGGCGCAGCAGGCGCGAAAACUCUGCAAUAAGCGAAAGCUUGACAGGGUUAUUCUGAGUGAUUUCCGCUAAGGAAAUCUUUUGGCACCUCUAAAAAUGGUGCAGAAUAAGGGGUGGGCAAGCCUGGUGUCAGCCGCCGCGGUAAUACCAGCACCCCGAGUGGUCGGGACGAUUAUUGGGCCUAAAGCAUCCGUAGCCGGUUCUACAAGUCUUCCGUUAAAUCCAUCUGCUUAACAGAUGGGCUGCGGAGGAUACUAUGGAGCUAGGAGGCGGGAGAGGCAAGCGGUACUUAGUGGGUAGGGGUAAAAUCCGUUGAUCCACUGAAGACCACCAGUGGCGAAGGCGGCUUGCCAGAACGCGCUCGACGGUGAGGGAUGAAAGCUGGGGGAGCAAACCGGAUUAGAUACCCGGGUAGUCCCAGCUGUAAACGAUGCAGACUCGGUGAUGAAUAGGCUUCGUGCCUUUUCAGUGCCGCAGGGAAGCCGUUAAGUCUGCCGCCUGGGGAGUACGGUCGCAAGACUGAAACUUAA